AUUGAACGCUGGCGGCAGGCCUAACACAUGCAAGUCGAACGAGUGGCGGACGGGUGAGUAAUGUCUGGGAAACUGCCUGAUGGAGGGGGAUAACUACUGGAAACGGUAGCUAAUACCGCAUACCCUCAGAUGUGCCCAGAUGGGAGUAGCUAGUAGGUGGGGUAACGGCUCACCUAGGCGACGAUCCCUAGCUUGUCUGAGAGGAUGACCAGCCACACUGGAUCUGAUCCACGGUCCAGACUCCUACGUGAGGCAGCAGUGGGGAAUAUUGCACAAUGUGCGCAAGCCUGAUACAGCCAUUCCGCGUGUAUGAAGAAGGCCGUCGGGUUGUAAAGUACUUUCAGCGGGGAGGCGUUACCCGAAGAAGAAGCACCGGCUAACUCCGUGCCAGCAGCCGCGGUAAUAG
This 406-nucleotide ribosomal RNA is filed under the name uncultured bacterium. Its description in RNAcentral is "partial 16S ribosomal RNA". It matches the Rfam family "Bacterial small subunit ribosomal RNA", at positions 30 to 526 of the family's 1533-position model. The record is from RNAcentral.